GGAUAUUUAGCUCAGUGGUAGAGCGCUUGCCUAGCAAGCGCAAGGCCCUGGGUUCGGUCCCCAGCUCCG
This is a non-coding RNA of Rattus norvegicus (Norway rat), 69 nucleotides long. Lineage: Eukaryota; Metazoa; Chordata; Mammalia; Rodentia; Muridae. The record is from Rfam.